GGAUGCGAUCAUACCAGCACUAAAGCACCGGAUCCCAUCAGAACUCCGAAGUUAAGCGUGCUUGGGAGAGAGUAGUACUAGGAUGGGUGACCUCCUAGGAAGUCCUCGUGUUGCAUUCC
Molecule: ribosomal RNA, 119 nt
Filed under: Triticum aestivum (bread wheat)
Lineage: Eukaryota; Viridiplantae; Streptophyta; Magnoliopsida; Poales; Poaceae
Also listed under: 1 other name
Source: RNAcentral